GUGCCAGCAGCCGCGGUAAUUCCAGCUCCAAUAGCGUAUAUUAAAGUUGUUGUGGUUAAAAAGCUCGUAGUUGAACCUUGGGCCUGGCUGGCCGGUCCGCCUCACCGCGUGCACUGGUCCGGCCGGGCCUUUCCCUCUGUGGAACCCCAUACCCUUCACUGGGCGUGGCGGGGAAACAGGACAUUUACUUUGAAAAAAUUAGAGUGCUCCAGGCAGGCCUAUGCUCGAAUACAUUAGCAUGGAAUAAUAAAAUAGGACGCGCGGUUCUAUUUUGUUGGUUUAUAGGACCGCCGUAAUGAUUAAUAGGGACAGUCGGGGGCAUCAGUAUUCAACUGUCAGAGGUGAAAUUCUUGGAUCAGUUGAAGACUAACUACUGCGAAAGCAUUUGCCAAGGAUGUUUUCAUUAAUCAGGAACGAAAGUUAGGGGAUCGAAGACGAUCAGAUACCGUCGUAGUCUUAACCAUAAACUAUGCCGACUAGGGAUCGGACGGUGUUAUUCAUGACCCGUUCGGCACCUUACGAGAAAUCAAAGUGCUUGGGGCUCCAGGGGGAGUAUGGUCGCAAGGCUGAAACUUAAAGAAAUUGACGGAAGGGCACCACCAGGGGUGAGCCUGCGGCUUAAUUUGACUCAACACGGGGAAACUCACCAGGUCCAGACACAAUAAGGAUUGACAGAUUGAGAGCUCUUUCUUGAUUUUGUGGGUGGGUGUGCAUGGCCGUUCUUAGUUGGUGGGGUGACUUGUCUGGCUUAAUUUGCGAUAACGAACGAGACCUUACCUGCUAAAUAGCCCGGCAUUGCUCCCGGCAGUGCGCUGCCUUCUUAAGAGGGACUUUCGCUCAAGCCGAAAGAAGUUUUGAGGGCA
Molecule: ribosomal RNA, 863 nt
Filed under: uncultured fungus
Lineage: Eukaryota; Fungi
Description: SSU rRNA
Rfam family: Eukaryotic small subunit ribosomal RNA
Source: RNAcentral